This is a non-coding RNA of Hydra vulgaris (swiftwater hydra), 2225 nucleotides long. The record is from RefSeq and is a predicted model, not a curated record. NCBI's taxonomy places the organism in Eukaryota, Metazoa, Cnidaria, Hydrozoa, Anthoathecata, Hydridae.
UAUAAAAAAUUAAACUUUUUUUUCAGGCUUCAUAAUUUUUUUUAAUACAUGUUUUUAUAAAGUUAGAUAUACUUUUUAAAUGAUUGUAUAUUUCCUUAAAAGUUAUGAUAUACUCAUAACUUUUAAGGGAAUCAAUGUGAAUGUCUUUAGUUUAUAUAGAUUUCUGAAGUUAGAACAAAGGUUAUCUAGCAACACAAGCUCUUUAAAAAGUUUGUUGUAAAAAUUUGUCCCCUUUGCAUUGCAACUAUCUCAUUGCAAAAAUGAAGAUAAUAAUAAAUUUGUGUAAAUAGCAAAAUAAGUUUGUUUUUGUCUCCAGUAAUCAUGUAGUGAAAAAUGGGGCAAGAUAGCUUUUCAUAUAAAAACUCAACAAAAAAACUUAAAAAUGGGUGAAAAUGAAUCUAUAUUUACAUCUUGUGUUUUAAAACACUAAUUUUUUAAAAUAUUGUUAAAGCAAGUUUAUAUAAGUUUACUUAUUGCAAUUAAAAAAUAUCUUGGUUUUAAUUAUUCAUAAUCGAUGGUGUCCUUCAGGUAUAACUUUUUUAGGACAAGUUUCUUUUGUGUUACUUUAGUUAGAGUAAUUGGUAAUUUUAUAAUUUUUAUAAAAUUGAAGGUGUAAAUUGCUCAAUAAGUCAUCUUGCCCCUGUCACAAGACCAAAUGACAAGUUUAUGAGCAUUUUAUUUUAAUUUUUAUUUCAAAUUUUUCUAAUUGCAAACUGAAAAUUGAUGCAGGCAAUGAAUAAUUAAGAUAACAUACUGACAAAGAAUUAUUGCUUCAUGAGUAAUAGUUUUGUGAUAAUUUAUUUGAUAAUUCAAGCCUUUCAAAACGUUUGCCAUCUUGCCCUGUUUUCCCCUGUAUGAAAAAUUAUUAUUCCCAUUGUAAACAGAUUGUUUUAAAUAUUAAGAUAUCAUUUGAAAUAAUAUCAACCCAAUUUGUGGAUUUUCUUUAUAGGAGAAGAAUGUGUUCUUCUUGAAUGAUAAUUAUUUGUUUCAGUGACCAGUUUAUGUUUUUAUUUGCUUUAUCAAAAAUUAGUUUUUUUCUUUAUUAUUUGCAAUAACAUUGUUAUCAGCAAAUUUUUUGUAUACAGCCCUUUGUUAUCAUUAAUUUCUUAAUUAUUUAUUAUAACAACUAGUUUUUUCUGAUGAAUCAUUAGCAUCAUAUUUGGAACUAAUAUAAUUUUCAGAUGAUGAUGAUAAAAUUAUUUCUGUGAUGGUAUUCAACCUGGUGACAAUGGAGCUGUUGGUGAACAACUCGCUCACCAACUAUUGGUAACCAACUUGCUGGCAAUAGAGCUAUUAGUGACCAACUUGCUGACAAUUGCUAUAGUAUAAAUUACAACAAUGGAUGAAAGAGACAAGCGUAGAAAAAAGAUACUGGAAAAUUCAAAACUUCGACUUAAAAAGCUGGAACUUUUAAAUAAAUCUGAGGGGAACGGAAUAAAUACAUGCCAUAAUCCGAUUGAAGUUGGUUUUAAUUCGAAAUUAAAAUCUAUUGAAGACGUUGAUCACAAUGACACUAUUUCUCAUAAGUUAAAUCCGGAUGAUUCACAUUUAAAUAAAACUUUAGAUGGUACAUUACUCUUUGAAAUGAAAAAAACAUCCAAAAUCUCAGAAAGCAGUUGGAUAAUCCGCAAAAGAAGAAUAUUUUUAUUUGUUCUGCUUGCCUGGGUGGUUUAUUUGACUACUCUUAAGGGCCUUGAUUUCUUAUUCGCUUUAUUUUAUUCUUAUAAACUUCCGCAGGAUGUUUUAGGAAACAUGGUUUUUAUGUUGUUUUUUGUUGUAGAGUUACAAGUCAUAAUUGUUGGUGUUUGGUUUGUUUAUAGAGGUUCUCGUUCUUUUCUUUUUACGACCUUUAAACUAUACGGUCUUCCUGAAAAUGUUGUUUUAUGUUGUGAAAAUAUAUGUUUUUUUUGUAGUAGCAUUCUAACUGAUUUUAGUGUUUACAUAUUUGUAUUGGUAUUUCUAUAUACUUUUGAUUUUUGAAAUUUUCAAUAUAUAAAACCAUUUUAUACUUAAAAAAUGUAUUGAAUUUCUUUAUUUUGCUACAUAUUUUAAAUACUCCAUAUUAUUCGGUAUUCUUCAUUUUUUAUAAAUUAUUACUAUGUUCAUAUGUAUGCCCGUGUAAAACCAAUGAUAUAUUAAGAAUAACUACUGUAGCAUGGGGUAAUUGAGCAUCUUAUUUGUAGUUUUUUUCAAAAUAAAAAAUGACUUGUAGAUAAUUUUAAAAA